GCCUCGUUAGCUCAGUGGUAGAGCAUGUGGCUUUUAACCACAGGGUCGUGGGUUCGACACCCACACGAGGCG
Molecule: non-coding RNA, 72 nt
Organism: Coemansia sp. RSA 1287
Lineage: Eukaryota; Fungi; Kickxellomycota; Kickxellomycetes; Kickxellales; Kickxellaceae
Source: the annotation of a GenBank genome assembly